RNAcentral lists this transfer RNA (60 nucleotides) under Pseudoniphargus morenoi. Its description in RNAcentral is "tRNA-His". The record is from RNAcentral. Lineage: Eukaryota; Metazoa; Arthropoda; Malacostraca; Amphipoda; Allocrangonyctidae.
GCUUUAAUAGUUUAGGUAAAAUAUUAUAUUGUGGAUAUAAAGUCACAUUAGUUUAAGGCA